This 510-nucleotide long non-coding RNA is filed under the name Phaseolus vulgaris (common bean). Its description in RNAcentral is "long non-coding RNA (PVUL_LNC000198)". Lineage: Eukaryota; Viridiplantae; Streptophyta; Magnoliopsida; Fabales; Fabaceae. The record is from RNAcentral.
ACGAAUGUCAAUCUACUUAGUGAAUUAGGUUUCUUCAAGUGAAGGAAUUCAUUUCGAUCAACCCGUUUUUCUAUUCUGCCCAGCACAAAGACUUUCUUCACCUCAAGGUUUCCAUUGUGCUCAGGGCUUCACUAGAUCACUUUGUGCUUCAUGCUCUUUAAAUAUGCUCCUUUUUGGAUUAAUUUUGCUUAGCACUGCUUCUAGGCUUUUAGUGCAUGAAGGUUGCUCUUUUUGGGCCUUCUCUACUUUGAAUAUGCUCAAUGUUUGAUGUGAGUGUUUAGUGGAUCAUUUGUUUUUGGGUCACUUUUGUUCAACUGUCAUUUUUCUUCUAAUUCCUGCAAAAUAGCCAAAAUUCUCAUAAGAUUAAGCAAUUUUGAUCACACUACAUUUCUAAGUGGGAAGAUUUCUAUUUUUUAUAUUUUUCAAUCACACUAUUUUAUAUUCUAAAUUAGUCUCUAUUAAUCUUUUAGAGACUAAUUUAGAAUCAAAAAUAUUAGAAGAUAAAAACUU